UUUCCGUAGGUGAACCUGCGGAAGGAUCAUUAUUGUAUAACCGAGGUGCGAGGGCUGUCGCUGACCCGAAAGGUCGUGCACGCCCGAGUGCCCUCACACACAUCCAACUCACCCCUAUGUGCACCACCGCGUGGGUCACCCUUGGGCUUGUUCGGAGGGGGGCUUACGUUUUCACACAAACUUUGUAUGCAGUGUAGAGUGUAUUUUUUGUUUUUGCGAUCACGCAAUCAAUACAACUUUCAACAACGGAUCUCUUGGCUCUC
This 263-nucleotide unclassified non-coding RNA is filed under the name plant metagenome. Its description in RNAcentral is "partial contains small subunit ribosomal RNA, internal transcribed spacer 1, and 5.8S ribosomal RNA". The record is from RNAcentral.